This 499-nucleotide ribosomal RNA is filed under the name uncultured bacterium. Its description in RNAcentral is "partial 16S ribosomal RNA". It matches the Rfam family "Bacterial small subunit ribosomal RNA", at positions 28 to 523 of the family's 1533-position model. The record is from RNAcentral.
GAUGAACGCUGGCGGCGUGCCUAACACAUGCAAGUCGAGCGAGAUAAAUGUGAGUGGAGACUUCGGUCAAAGCAAUCAUUUUGAAAGCGGCGGACGGGUGAGUAACGCGUGAGCAAUCUGCCCCAUACAAAGGGAUACCCACUGGAAACGGUGAUUAAUACCUUAUAAGACCACGAAGUCGCCUGGCUUAGUGGCCAAAGAUUUAUCGGUAUGGGAUGAGCUCGCGUCUGAUUAGCUAGUUGAUGAGGUAAUGGCUCACCAAGGCGACGAUCAGUAGCCGACCUGAGAGGGGGAACGGCCACACUGGAACUGAGACACGGUCCAGACUCCUACGGGAGGCAGCAGUGGGGAAUAUUGCACAAUGGGCGCAAGCCUGAUGCAGCAACGCCGCGUGAAUGAUGAAGGCCUUCGGGUCGUAAAGUUCUGUCCUAAGGGAAGAAUACAGUGACGGUACCUUAGGAGGAAGCCCCGGCUAACUACGUGCCAGCCGCCGCGGUAA